Molecule: ribosomal RNA, 492 nt
Filed under: uncultured bacterium
Lineage: Bacteria
Description: partial 16S ribosomal RNA
Rfam family: Bacterial small subunit ribosomal RNA
Source: RNAcentral
AGUGAACGCUGGCGGUAGGCCUAACACAUGCAAGUCGAACGGCAGCACAGUAAGAGCUUGCUCUUACGGGUGGCGAGUGGCGGACGGGUGAGGAAUACAUCGGAAUCUACUUUUUCGUGGGGGAUAACGUAGGGAAACUUACGCUAAUACCGCAUACGACCUACGGGUGAAAGCAGGGGAUCUUCGGACCUUGCGCGAUUGAAUGAGCCGAUGUCGGAUUAGCUAGUUGGCGGGGUAAAGGCCCACCAAGGCGACGAUCCGUAGCUGGUCUGAGAGGAUGAUCAGCCACACUGGAACUGAGACACGGUCCAGACUCCUACGGGAGGCAGCAGUGGGGAAUAUUGGACAAUGGGCGCAGGCCUGAUCCAGCCAUACCGCGUGGGUGGAGAAGGCCUUCGGGUUGUAAAGCCCUUUUGUUGGGAAAGAAAAGCAGCAGGUUAAUACCCCGCUGUUCUGACGGUACCCAAAGAAUAAGCACCGGCUAACUUCGUG